GACAGAGCACGCAAGCGUUGUUCGGAAUCAUUGGGCUUAAAGCGCGUGUAGGCGGCUUCGCAAGUACCUUGUGAAAGCCCUCGGCUCAACCGGGGAAUCGCUGGGUAUACUGCGGGGCUUGAGGCGAGUAGGGGUGCCUGGAACUCUAGGUGGAGCGGUGAAAUGCGUAGAUAUCUAGAGGAACGCCCGUGGCGAAAGCGGGGCACUGGGCUCGUCCUGACGCUGAGACGCGAAAGCGUAGGGAGCAAACGGG
Molecule: ribosomal RNA, 253 nt
Filed under: uncultured prokaryote
Description: partial 16S ribosomal RNA
Rfam family: Bacterial small subunit ribosomal RNA
Source: RNAcentral